Molecule: ribosomal RNA, 252 nt
Filed under: Phascolarctobacterium succinatutens YIT 12067
Lineage: Bacteria; Bacillati; Bacillota; Negativicutes; Acidaminococcales; Acidaminococcaceae
Description: partial 16S ribosomal RNA
Rfam family: Bacterial small subunit ribosomal RNA
Source: RNAcentral
UACGUAGGUGGCGAGCGUUGUUCGGAAUUAUUGGGCGUAAAGAGCAUGUAGGCGGUUUUUUAAGUCUGGAGUGAAAAUGCGGGGCUCAACCCCGUAUGGCUCUGGAUACUGGAAGACUUGAGUGCAGGAGAGGAAAGGGGAAUUCCCAGUGUAGCGGUGAAAUGCGUAGAUAUUGGGAGGAACACCAGUGGCGAAGGCGCCUUUCUGGACUGUGUCUGACGCUGAGAUGCGAAAGCCAGGGUAGCGAACGGG